AUUUCAAGAUAUCGAUUUAGUACCUUUGCCCAACAAAUGUCAUUGGUGUUUGGCCAUUUGACAAAGACAUCAUUCUGCUGUCCUCUUUCAAAUGCAGGCUGUGUAUGAAGAAAUGUGUUACAAGAAACAUAUUAUUAUUCAACUCAUUUGCAAGAAGAACAUAAAGAGGAAGGAAAGUAACAUGGGCAAGGAGAGGAAGCGAGAAAAAUAACUUCAUACAAUUUUCUUGUCCCCAGUUAGAUAUCACAUAUUUGGUAAGCAAUCUACUUAAUAUUUUUAUAACAUUUUGAAAUUUGUGUCACAUCGUAGAAUUCCAACUUGAUGUUUAUCAGCUUGAAACAGUCCACUGAGUAACAUCUAUU
Molecule: long non-coding RNA, 362 nt
Filed under: Homo sapiens (human)
Lineage: Eukaryota; Metazoa; Chordata; Mammalia; Primates; Hominidae
Description: HSALNT0063562
Source: RNAcentral